RNAcentral lists this ribosomal RNA (425 nucleotides) under uncultured bacterium. RNAcentral's name for it is "partial 16S ribosomal RNA". It matches the Rfam family "Bacterial small subunit ribosomal RNA", at positions 354 to 796 of the family's 1533-position model. The record is from RNAcentral.
GUGGGGAAUCUUGCGCAAUGGGCGAAAGCCUGACGCAGCCAUGCCGCGUGAAUGAUGAAGGUCUUAGGAUUGUAAAAUUCUUUCACCGGGGACGAUAAUGACGGUACCCGGAGAAGAAGCUCCGGCUAACUCCGUGCCAGCAGCCGCGGUAAUACGAAGGGGGCUAGCGUUGCUCGGAAUUACUGGGCGUAAAGGGCGCGUAGGCGGACAGCUUAGUCAGCGGUGCAAGCCCAGGGCUCCACCUUUGAAUUGGCUUUGAUAAUGGCUGUAUUGAGUGUGGGGGAGGUGAGUGGAAGUCCGAGUGUAGAGGUGAAAUUCGUAGAUAUUCGGAAGAACACCAGUGGCGAAGGCGACUCACUGGCCCAAUACUGACGCUGAGGCGCGAAAGCGUGGGGAGCAAACAGGAUUAGAUACCCGUGUAGUCC